CCUACGGGUGGCUGCAGUGGGGAAUAUUGCACAAUGGGGGAAACCCUGAUGCAGCAACGCCGCGUGGGUGAAGAAGUAUUUCGGUAUGUAAAGCUCUAUCAGCAGGGAAGAAGAUGACGGUACCUGAGGAAGAAGCCCCGGCUAACUACGUGCCAGCAGCCGCGGUAAUACGUAGGGGGCAAGCGUUAUCCGGAUUUACUGGGUGUAAAGGGAGCGUAGACGGUGAGACAAGUCUGAAGUGAAAGCCUGGAGCUUAACCCCAGGACUGCUUUGGAAACUGCCUGACUGGAGUGCUGGAGAGGUAAGUGGAAUUCCUAGUGUAGGGGUGAAAUGCGUAGAUAUUAGGAAGAACACUAGUGGCGAAGGCGGCCUGCUGGAACGUAACUGACGUUGAGGCACGAAAGCGUGGGGAGCAAACAGGAUUAGAUACCCCAGUAGUC
RNAcentral lists this ribosomal RNA (440 nucleotides) under uncultured bacterium. Its description in RNAcentral is "partial 16S ribosomal RNA". It matches the Rfam family "Bacterial small subunit ribosomal RNA", at positions 338 to 795 of the family's 1533-position model. The record is from RNAcentral.